AUGACGAUAAAUAAGAGUCAAGGGCAGUCUCUAAAACAUGUGGGGCUAUAUUUACCAAAGCAGGUGUUCACACAUGGCCAACUCUAUGUUGCGGUAUCAAGAGUCACAAGUAGAGAUGGACUUAAAGUUCUAAUUUCAGAUGAAGAAUCUAAGGAAAAUAAUUCAGCAAAAAAUAUUGUGUACAAGGAGAUCCUUUAG
Molecule: ribosomal RNA, 198 nt
Filed under: Triticum aestivum (bread wheat)
Lineage: Eukaryota; Viridiplantae; Streptophyta; Magnoliopsida; Poales; Poaceae
Description: partial small subunit ribosomal RNA
Source: RNAcentral